UUCCGGUGUCCAGAUGCUCUCCCGACAGCAUUACGAAGUGAGGAACAACUCUCAGAAUUGGUUCGUGAAUGUCCAGAUAACUCCAUCAUCCAGGAAAAGAUGAAGAUUCUCAGUAAGCAUUAUGUGCUCUUCCGAAGAACUCGCCAAGAUGGCAGCUGCUUUUACAGAGCUUUUCUGUCUUCCUACAUGGAGAUCCUUCGACAAAUGCAAGAUAAACAAGCUGAGGUUACUCGUCUUAUGGAAUGUUUCGAAAUGUAUACAGAUAGAUUCUCUCGUCUUAAGUGGGACGAAGCAUACUUCUUAAAUCCUGAAAAAUACUUCUCAAGUGUUGUUUCUGAGCUCAAUGAGGUUCUCAACGUCAUUGCAGCAGGUUGUACUUCUGAAUGGCUGUACCAGAGAAGCCUGCAGGAGUCCUUUUCAGGCAGGAUUAUAUCUUUCCUUAGGUUGCUUACUGAGACUGAAAUCCGGACAGAAGAGUUCUACAAGCAAUCUAUCCCCAAAAAUGUGAAUGUCCUCCAGUUCUGUUGGAAAACGGUCCGAUCGCUGGAUGCUGAAGCUACCACUACACAAAUGAGGGCUUUGACAUACACGCUCGGCAUACCGUUGCGUGUCGAAGUCGUGGAUAAGAGCUCGACGGGUCAAGUUGUGUUAGUGAAGCGCCUCGAUUUCUUUCAUCAGUCAGACUUGAACAAGGGCCCUCUCCAUUUGACUCGGAGCUACCUUUCCUCGAGCACAGCUCCUAAACUGCUGGAGGAGGGAAGCAACGACGCCGACUUGUUAUCAUCUGAUGGCGCACCCUUGCUGACCUUGUUGUGUAGGCGUGGUCACUGUGACAUUCUUUACCGCAAGUGA
This 852-nucleotide ribosomal RNA is filed under the name Triticum aestivum (bread wheat). RNAcentral describes it as "partial small subunit ribosomal RNA". Lineage: Eukaryota; Viridiplantae; Streptophyta; Magnoliopsida; Poales; Poaceae. The record is from RNAcentral.